UAGUUCUAGAGCUUUUAGGUGUGCUGUCAGACUGCAAGUGUAAGCUCUCUCUAGUUUCUUUUUGGAGGCACUCAGAGCUAUGAGUUUUCCUCUUAGGACUGCCUUCGUUGUGUCCCAUAAGUUUGGGUGUGUUGAGUUAUCCACGACUGGCUGAGGUCGGAGUGCUGGGUUCUGAUGAUGGUGGAAUUCUCUUCCCUCUACACAUUAAAAAGAAUCUGCUGUGUUCCCUUGGCAUUUCCACUGGUCUGUGACAUGUUUCUCUCCUGUCAAGGCUGAGCAUGCACAAGCUAUUGCUAUCAGGUGACCUGAACUGAAUCUCCUGCCUCCUUUCUUAGAAAGAAUCUGCAGCUGUGGGACAAAAGUGGGAUUCCUGGAACUCACUCACUCUUGCUUCUUCAGUCCUCACCCAUCUGUCCCUUAUUCCACUUCCAACAUUGUUCCCAGUACCUGUCAUUGUCAAGGAUUCCCCUCAGAAAACAUACAGAAGGAAGCAGCUGAGCAUUAUCAGCAGGACAGAGGGGUUGGAUGUGCAUGCUCUGGAUGAAGGUCGGCCCACAUCUGCAGUGGUUGACAAGGCUAAAAUGAAAACACAAGUUGAGUCUUUGACUAGGACUUAAAUCUUAGCAAAUAUCACCUCAACUUCUGGGUCCUCAGGAAAUUCCUUAACACACAGGGUUACAACCAUUUUGUUGUGUAACAGCAAUUUGUGUGGGUCCUGAGUUGGAAGGGACAGGGAAUGUCCCUGACCUCAAAAUGCUCGUGUAGCUAUGGUAAGGGAGCAGGGUCAUGAUGGGACCUCAUCUCUCCUGCUGACAGAAGAGGAACUGACCUGUGAAGAACAUGAAGGGUGAGAAGAAGGCAACAGCAAUUCUAGACUGUGAAGACAGGAAGUAGAAGGAUGCUCAGACUGAGGAAAGACACAAGGACAGUGACCAGUGGGAAUGUAGUAAGUGAGAUAGGAGAGGACAAGGAGGGAAAUGAGGGAUGGAAAGAGUGACUUAACCCAAAGAAGGACUCAUGAAGAAUAGAACACACACAGAUAUAUGCACACAGAGAGACAUAUAUGGAAACAUGUGGUCAUGGACACGUGAACACACACGGACACAGGCACACUACACAUCUGCAGAAAGCUUUGUCCCCCUUUUGCCAGUUACCUGUAGGCUCCUGGUUUUCCUUACAGUGCAAAUUAUACUCCUUAAACUUGUUCUUGAAUUCACCCUGUGAUGUCCUGUUUAAGAAGUCAUUUAGAUUUUUGAUUUUCUCCAAUAUCUCUUCUGUCCAGUUGGUUCCAGAAUAGAUGUGAAGCCAUCUCUUGAUGUCACCAUGAAAUAUUUUGCUUCCAUUGAGGCAUACCUUCCAUGAUCCCAUGAAUCGUUCAUCUGCAUACCAGCCACACACAAUGGACUGCAGAGUGAGGGGCUCUGUGUCCAUUGGAAAGAUAUAAGUCUCUGGCAUUGAUUAAUUCAGUCUUCUUGCCCAUCUUCCCUUCCCAUCCCCUGACCUGGUUUUACCCUCCACAUUUUGCCCUUGCUGUUGGACCUCUUAGGUGGGACUAACAGUGGUUCAUUUUGUUUCUUCAUGAAACAAUGAAGGUCCCUAACCUGUUACAAAUCUUGCUCUUUCCUUCAAUGGACAUCUGACAUGUUCUUUUACUCAUUUUGUAGCAGUGAGGAUGGAACCUAGGGUCUCAUGCAUGCUAGGCAAGAACUCUACCACUGAGCUACAUCCCCAGCUCUAUGGAGUCAUUUGAAACUUACCUCUGAUUGUGUUAUUCUCCCCCCGCAUUUGAAGUAGCACAUCUUGGAAGUGAUAAACUUGACCUUGUAGACUGUGAAGCUGUUUUUCACAGAUCUCUGUGGCAUUGAGUCUGUUCUCAAAAUCACUAGUGACAUGACAUUUGUUAUUUCUGUUGAGAAUAAAAGGUACUGUUUUCACUUC
Molecule: long non-coding RNA, 1938 nt
Filed under: Mus musculus (house mouse)
Lineage: Eukaryota; Metazoa; Chordata; Mammalia; Rodentia; Muridae
Description: RIKEN cDNA B020014A21 gene
Source: RNAcentral